GUCAGCGUGCCAGAGUGGUUAAUGGGUAUGACUCGAAUGAUUCCGCAAGGAUAUCUCUAGAUAUCAUAUGGUCUAGGCCGCGUAGGUUCAAAUCCUGCCGCUGACG
Molecule: transfer RNA, 106 nt
Filed under: Lachnellula arida
Lineage: Eukaryota; Fungi; Ascomycota; Leotiomycetes; Helotiales; Lachnaceae
Description: tRNA-Ser
Rfam family: tRNA
About the family: Transfer RNA (tRNA) molecules are approximately 80 nucleotides in length. Their secondary structure includes four short double-helical elements and three loops (D, anti-codon, and T loops).
Source: RNAcentral